AUUGAACGCUGGCGGCAGGCCUAACACAUGCAAGUCGAGCGGAUGAGUGGAGCUUGCUCCAUGAUUCAGCGGCGGACGGGUGAGUAAUGCCUAGGAAUCUGCCUGGUAGUGGGGGACAACGUUUCGAAAGGAACGCUAAUACCGCAUACGUCCUACGGGAGAAAGCAGGGGACCUUCGGGCCUUGCGCUAUCAGAUGAGCCUAGGUCGGAUUAGCUAGUAGGUGGGGUAAAGGCUCACCUAGGCGACGAUCCGUAACUGGUCUGAGAGGAUGAUCAGUCACACUGGAACUGAGACACGGUCCAGACUCCUACGGGAGGCAGCAGUGGGGAAUAUUGGACAAUGGGCGAAAGCCUGAUCCAGCCAUGCCGCGUGUGUGAAGAAGGCCUUCGGAUUGUAAAGCACUUUAAGUUGGGAGGAAGGGCAGUAAGUUAAUACCUUGCUGUUUUGACGUUACCAACAGAAUAAGCACCGGCUAACUUCGUGCCAGCAGCCGCCGUAA
RNAcentral lists this ribosomal RNA (500 nucleotides) under uncultured bacterium. Its description in RNAcentral is "partial 16S ribosomal RNA". It matches the Rfam family "Bacterial small subunit ribosomal RNA", at positions 30 to 523 of the family's 1533-position model. The record is from RNAcentral.